AAAAGAUUUUCUGAAGAAGGAUCUAGGCCCGAAACAUCAGCUUUCCUGCUCCUCUGAUGCUGCUUGGCCUGCUGUGUUCAUCCAGCUCUACACCUUGCUGUAGAUCAGUUUUUACUUUUAUCUUAUAAAUACUAACAACAUUUUUUAAGUGCCAAAAAGAUAUAAACCAUUGAGAAAAAUGGACAGAUAAAAGCAGCGUUUAAGUAGUAAUGAUACCAUACAGUGUGUAGUUACGCUAACACUGCAACUGUUGGACGAUAGAGAUCACCGGACUGGAAAGUGCUCUGAAAGGAAGCUUGGCAAACUUCUAUAGUGCAACUCUUAAAUACUAAAGAGCUGAAGCAGUUACAAUGCUGGACCCAGAUUCUUCGACUCUGACCUCCCUGCUUUUGUGAACAAAUUCUUGAUGGUCUUGUGAGGCAGUCUGAACUCUAAGGGAAGCAAAACAUUCCUCUAGACCUCUACUUGCUGCAGCACGAUGUCUAGGUUCUGUUCGGAGGGCCUUGAGAGUGCUUCCUCGCGGGAUUCCUGGUUACCAGGCAUGAAACAUCCUCGAAUGAGCAAACAGUCGGCAUUUGCGUCAGCUGUGUGUGGCUGUCAUUGUGGGAUACUGAGAAUGGACAUAAUAAUGAAACAGUGAUGUAGGUCAUGAUGCACAUGACUACUGAUGUGACAAUUUUCAAGAGACUAAGAAGAAACUAUGGGCUAGUUUGUACUAUUCAGAAGUGUACUUAGAGAAAAUGGUAUUGGAUAUGAUGGCGUAAAUAAGAGUUUUUAUACAGCAGUCACUCUAGGUGAGAGGAACCCGUUACAGGCCACAAACUACUGAAAGAGACCAGAUAUCUUCUGGGUGGAUAUUGCUGUAGAGACUUGCAGAGCUACAUUAGCUGCUGCAUCAUGAAAGCCAGGCUUUCAUGGCAAACAGCAAAAAAAAACUGGGGUAAUAGUAUUCUCAAAGGAUAGAAUAGCAACAUCGCAAUAUUGUCUUGGACAGUGAACACACUGACGUUUGUUUAAGUAAGGGCAUGCAGCUGAUGAGACACUAUGUUUCUGCCAACAUCAAACUACCCAAUGCUCCCAGCACGAGGGUCACACAUCACCUCCAGUGGUGUGGCAGGCCUGUGUCCAGGGAGAUAUUUAAUUUACGUCCCAUUUACUGCCCUCUUAUUCGGCUGAGGAUGGGAAGCACCUAGCUCUGUUCCUUAUUCUUCUAUCCUCAAAUGCAACUCCCCACUUAAAUGCGACUCACAAAGUGCACGUGAAAUCUGCCCCUUAUAUGAAAUUCCCACGCAGAGUUAGUCACAAGUCUGGAAACUGUGAAAGGUUUGACUCUCAAUUCACGACCCUGUGUGGGAAAAUCUGACCUCACAUCUCUGAUCUGAUUAAGUAAUUAAUAUUAUCCAUUUUUUGUAAAGUGGAAACAUUUUUUGAGGGUAGUUGAAAGACAUUUUUAAAAUUCUUCCUUCAUGGUGUGGUGCAGAGCUAAGCAGCUAAUUUUUUAAACAUAUCCUGCAAAUGUCUGGCAGGCUGAAAAUGGUGAUCGUUAUUGCUUAUUAUGCGCAGUACGAGUUGCAAAUUGCCCUUGCAUAUUUUCUCGGAUUAGACGGUAACUCUGACUUGGCAUAAAGUACUCUGCGUGCCUUUGUAAUUUUGCAUUAGUUUAAUAAGACCUUAGCAUUUUGAAUGAGCUUUUGGCUAAUGCUUAUGAAGUUAUUUUGGAGUAAGCUGAAUCCUGGAGGGGAGCUCAACAUAAAUAACAUUCUAUACAUGGCAUUAUGUAAUGUUUUACUGAUAUGUCAAACAUUAUCAAAGAAAAUAUUGCCUCAUUUGGAAAGUACUGAGAUUAUAAUUUACACUUUUUUUGGUGCGGCAUUUGAGAGGUGACAUUUCAUAACAAAUCUUGUGACUCAACUCCAUUGGAAAUGAGUCUAAUAAUAUCCCAAGUUUGUAAUACCGAGAACAAUUAUAAUUGUGGUUGCACUCUAAAUAGUUUGGCAAGUUCAUAACAGCUACAGGUAUAACAAUGAAUAAGUAAACAUUAUUUCAAUUGUCAAAUUGUAAUGCAUACAUUUAUGAGAAACAGGACUUUCUGAAAGUGCAGAUUUUUUGAAUGAAAGUCUGUCAGACUUUUCAGGUGAAUUUAAAGAUCCUACACCACAACCAGAAGAAGAGCAAGGAAUCUUCUGAUUCACCAAUGUCUUUUAAGGAAGGAAUGUGCGGUCCUUCUCUGACUCCGAACCCACAGCAAUGACUCUCAACUGCCCUCUGAAAUGGCCUAGCAAGCCACUCAGUUGAAUAAACUGCUAGAAAGGAGAAAAGGAAAGAAAAUGGAUGAAACUCCUGUCAACAACCUGGGCACUGGAAACAGCAAUGGCAGAAACAGCCCUGUAGACGCUACAAGGUUCCCCCUAUUAACACCUGGGGUGCCCUAAACCCGGGACAGCUGUCUCACAGACUAGUCAAGCAACAGCCUUACAUAGUCCCACUCAUGUCAUACCUCAUAGGCAAUGUCCCAGACACCAGCAUCGCCAUUCCUGGAUAUGACUUGUUCUACAGGCAGGACAGACCCAGCAGAGGGUGCGACACAGUGAUAUACAGUUGGAACGGAAUUGCCCCGGGAGCUGACUCUAGAACCUAUGAAAUCUUGUGGCAUUAGGUCAAAACAUGGAUAAGGAAACCUCCUGCUGAUUACCGCAGACCGUCUUCUCUCCACUGAUGGCUCUGUGCUCCUCCAUGUUGAACAACACUUGGAAGAAGCACAGAGAGUAGUAAGGGCACAGAAUGUUCUCUGGGCAGGAGAUUUGAAUGUCUAUCUGGUCAAAUCCAAAAGGACAUAGCUGUUAGACGGGAUCUGUAGCAGGUGGUGAGGGAACCAACAAGCGGGAAAACCAUACUUGACCUCAUCCUUACCAAUCUGCAUUCCACAGGUGCAUCUGUCCAUGACAGUAUUAGUAAGACAGACUAUCGCACAGUCCUUCUAGAGAAGAAGUCCCGCCUUCACACUGAAAGUACCUUACAUCAUUUUGAGUGGCAGUAUUAUCGUGCUAAAUGGGACAGACUUCAAACAGUUCUGGCAACUCAAGGCUGGGCAUCCACGAGGCAUUGUAAGCCAUCAGCAACACUGGAAUCAUACUCCAACACAAUCUGCAAUCUCAUGGCCUGGCCUCCUUCCCCAGUAGCAUUGUGGGUCUACCUGCAGCACAUAGCCUGCAGCAGUUCAUGACGGAAGGUCACCACCAGCUAAACACAUGCAAUAAAUGCUGGCCCAACCAACAAUACCCACAGUCCCAUGAGUGAAUAAAAACACUUCGUGUUCUGGUCAACAUUUCUUCCUGAACCAAAACAAGAACAAAACAGAUCGAAACAUUUAUUUCAUUUACUGUAUAUGAAUUAGUUGACUGUAACCUAUAUUGUAUGGAGUUUAGAAGAACUAAAGGUGAUCUCACUGAAAAACUCAAGAUUCUAAAAGGACUUGACAGGGUAGAUACUAGCCGAGGAACCUGAAAUAUAUACACAACCUCAGGAUAAGGGAAUCAGUCCUUUAGAACUAAGCUAUAAGGAUUGUAUAUGGCCAUUGUUGAAUAUAUAUUUAAGAGCAAGAUGGACAGAUAUUUGGACUUGUGAGGAAUCAAGAAUAUAGGGAGUGUGUGGAAAAUUGACCUUGAUUUUGAGAAUCUGUUACAAUCAUACUGAAUGUCAGGGCAGGCUCAAUAGACUAUAUGGCCUACUCCUGCUCUUAUUUUUCAAGUUUUGACCAUCUCGCGGUUUUUAUUUUAAAUAUAGGUUUCUUUAAUUAAAUCUCCCAGCUACUGUGGUCAGAUUUGAGUUUAUAUUUAGAAGCCAUUCAGCCAGGUUUCCGAAUUACCAGUCCAGCAGUAUUACCAUGUGCUCAUUGGUAAGUAUUGUGUGCAGUUCUGGUCGCUCUGCUACAGGAAGGAUUUUAUUAAUUUGGGGAGGAUUCAGAAAAGUUUUACCAGGAUGUUGCUGUUACUGGAGGGUUUGAUUUAUAAGGAGAGGUUGGAUAGGCUGGGAGAUUUUUCACUGGAGCUUUGGAUGUUGAGGAUCUUAUAGGGUUUAUAAAAUCACAAGGAUUAUAGCCAAGGUGAAUAGCAAAGGCCUUUUUCCUCGGGUGGGGAGUUCAAGACCGGGGGCAUCUUUUUAAGGUGAGAGGAGAAAGCUUUAGAAGGGACCUGAUGGGCAACUUUUUCACAUGCAGAUUGGUUCGUAUGUGGAAUGAACUGCCAGGAGAAGUGGUAGAUUUACAACACUUACAUUUAAAAGACAUUUGGACAAGUAGGUGAAUAGGAACGGUCCAGAGGGAUAUGGGUCAAAUGCAGGCAGGUGGGACUCGUUUAGUUUGGGAAACUUGGUCGGCAUAGACAAGUUGGGUUGAAGGGUCUGUUUCCAUGUCAAAUGAAUCAAUGACUCUAUCAUAUCUUGUUUGUUGUGAUACAAAUUUUAGUAAUGCCCUGAAGCUCUAUAGAAUUGAUUACUCUAAUCUUUUCAUAAGGUAGGAAAGCUUUUUUUUUU
This is a long non-coding RNA of Rhincodon typus (whale shark), 4530 nucleotides long. RefSeq lists it as uncharacterized. The transcript has 3 exons. Lineage: Eukaryota; Metazoa; Chordata; Chondrichthyes; Orectolobiformes; Rhincodontidae. The record is from RefSeq and is a predicted model, not a curated record.